This 253-nucleotide ribosomal RNA is filed under the name uncultured bacterium. Its description in RNAcentral is "partial 16S ribosomal RNA". It matches the Rfam family "Bacterial small subunit ribosomal RNA", at positions 524 to 776 of the family's 1533-position model. The record is from RNAcentral.
UACGGGGGGGGCAAGCGUUGUUCGGAAUUACUGGGCGUAAAGGGCUCGUAGGCGGCCAACUAAGUCAGACGUGAAAUCCCUCGGCUUAACCGGGGAACUGCGUCUGAUACUGGAUGGCUUGAGUUUGGGAGAGGGAUGCGGAAUUCCAGGUGUAGCGGUGAAAUGCGUAGAUAUCGGAAGGAACGCCGGUGGCGAAAGCGAUCGACUGGACCUCUUCUGACGCUGAGGCGCGAAAGCCAGGGGAGCAAACGGG